RNAcentral lists this ribosomal RNA (481 nucleotides) under uncultured bacterium. RNAcentral's name for it is "bacterial SSU rRNA". It matches the Rfam family "Bacterial small subunit ribosomal RNA", at positions 903 to 1397 of the family's 1533-position model. The record is from RNAcentral.
AAAUGAAUUGACGGGGGAGCGCACAACCAGUGGAGCAUGUGGUUUAAUUCGAUACGAAGCGAAAGACCUCACCCGGGCUUGACAUGUACUUGCAAAUCCGAUGAAAGUCGGACUCUUUCGAAGGUAGUACACAGUUGCUGCAUGGCUGUCGUCAGCUCGUGUCGUGAGACGUCCGCUUAAGUGCGGUAACGAGCGCAACCCCUGCCGUGUGUUAAAUAUUCACAUGGGACUGCCUUACAGCAAGUAGGGAGGAAGGAGGGGACGACGUCAAGUCAGCAUGGCACUUACGUCCGGGGCCACACACAUCCUACAAUGGCAAUUAAUAACGGGUCGCGAAAGGGUAACCUCGAGCCAAUCCUUCAAACAUUGCCUCAGUUCAGAUUGAGGGCUGCAACCCGCCCUCAUGAAGUCGGAAUUGGUAGUAAUCGCGGGUCAGCAGACCGCGGUGAAUACGUUCUCGCUCCUUGUACACACCGCCCGU